UACGUAGGUGACAAGCGUUGUCCGGAUUUACUGGGCGUAAAGGGCGCGUAGGCGGUUUGCACAGUCAGACGUGAAAUUCCUGGGCUUAACCUGGGGGCUGCGUUUGAUACGUGCAGGCUUGAGUUCGGAAGAGGGUCGUGGAAUUCCCAGUGUAGAGGUGAAAUUCGUAGAUAUUAGGAAGAACACCGGUGGCGAAGGCGGCCCACUGGUCCGGUACUGACGCUGAGGUGCGAAAGCGUGGGGAGCAAACAGG
This 253-nucleotide ribosomal RNA is filed under the name uncultured bacterium. RNAcentral describes it as "partial 16S ribosomal RNA". It matches the Rfam family "Bacterial small subunit ribosomal RNA", at positions 524 to 776 of the family's 1533-position model. The record is from RNAcentral.